RNAcentral lists this ribosomal RNA (289 nucleotides) under uncultured bacterium. Its description in RNAcentral is "partial 16S ribosomal RNA". It matches the Rfam family "Bacterial small subunit ribosomal RNA", at positions 773 to 1060 of the family's 1533-position model. The record is from RNAcentral.
GUGGAUUAGAUACCCUGGUAGUCCACGCCCUAAACGAUGCGAACUGGAUGUUGGGCUCACUUCGGAGCUCAGUAUCGAAGCUAACGCGUUAAGUUCGCCGCCUGGGGAGUACGGUCGCAAGACUGAAACUCAAAGGAAUUGACGGGGGCCCGCACAAGCGGUGGAGUAUGUGGUUUAAUUCGAUGCAACGCGCAGAACCUUACCUGGCCUUGACAUCCACGGAACUUUCCAGAGAUGGAUUGGUGCCUUCGGGAACCGUGAGACAGGUGCUGCACGGCUGUCGACAACU